This is a long non-coding RNA of Eucalyptus grandis, 507 nucleotides long. RefSeq lists it as uncharacterized. The transcript is spliced from 2 exons. The record is from RefSeq and is a predicted model, not a curated record. NCBI's taxonomy places the organism in Eukaryota, Viridiplantae, Streptophyta, Magnoliopsida, Myrtales, Myrtaceae.
GUUACCCAGUUUGAGAUGUGUACUUCCUUCGUUCCACAAGUCGCAUCACCACAAUGUUGAGAGCUAGGGUUUUUGACUGGAAGGCUGAAUCGGCGUUGAUCUCUUUUGCAAAUUUGUGUAUGAUGAUGCCCUUUGAGUUCCGACAUACGCCCGCCAUCGCGUCGGAUCUCCAUUCGUUCAGCCAGGAACCAUCUACGUUGUAUGUUAGCUUGCCGCGCUCUGGAAGACUAUCUCGCAGAGUAGGAAGAGGUGCUUCGGUGUCUCUAAUGUUUGGCGACAGAUGGGGCAUAGUGGAUCAAGUACCACCUUUCACUUGUAUAGAUUUUCCUGUGUUGGGAGGGUGUUUGUACAUAAGCUCCAUGUGAAGAUUUUUAUAUUUGGUGGAAUGUUUAGAUGCCAAAUCAUAUUCCAUAGCUUCUUGGGAGGUUGGUAAGAUGAGGAUGCCUGGGUUUUGUUGCUAUGUGUCUCUGCAUUGUGAAUGGUAUUAUAAUCGCUUUUCACCGUAUA